ACUCAAAUGAAUAGACGGGGGCCCGCACAAGCGGCGGAGCAUGCGGAUUAAUUCGAUGCAACGCGAAGAACCUUACCUGGGUUUGACAUCACCCGAAAACUUCCAGAGAUGGGGGGUCCUUCGGGGCGGGUGACAGGUGGUGCAUGGCUGUCGUCAGCUCGUGUCGUGAGAUGUUGGGUUAAGUCCCGCAACGAGCGCAACCCUCGUUCGAUGUUGCCAGCGGGUAAUGCCGGGGACUCGUCGAAGACUGCCGGGGUCAACUCGGAGGAAGGUGGGGAUGACGUCAAGUCAUCAUGCCCCUUAUGUCCAGGGCUUCACGCAUGCUACAAUGGCCGGUACAAAGGGCUGCGAUGCCGUAAGGUGGAGCGAAUCCCAAAAAGCCGGUCUCAGUUCGGAUCGGGGUCUGCAACUCGACCCCGUGAAGUCGGAGUCGCUAGUAAUCGCAGAUCAGCAUUGCUGCGGUGAAUACGUUCCCGGGCCUUGUACACACCGCCCGU
RNAcentral lists this ribosomal RNA (497 nucleotides) under uncultured bacterium. Its description in RNAcentral is "bacterial SSU rRNA". It matches the Rfam family "Bacterial small subunit ribosomal RNA", at positions 899 to 1397 of the family's 1533-position model. The record is from RNAcentral.